This 2652-nucleotide ribosomal RNA is filed under the name Klebsiella pneumoniae. Its description in RNAcentral is "23S ribosomal RNA". It matches the Rfam family "Bacterial large subunit ribosomal RNA". Lineage: Bacteria; Pseudomonadati; Pseudomonadota; Gammaproteobacteria; Enterobacterales; Enterobacteriaceae. The record is from RNAcentral.
UUAAGCGACUAAGCGUACACGGUGGAUGCCCUGGCAGUCAGAGGCGAUGAAGGACGUGCUAAUCUGCGAAAAGCGUCGGUAAGGUGAUAUGAACCGUUAUAACCGGCGAUGUCCGAAUGGGGAAACCCAGUGUGAUUCGUCACACUAUCGUUAACUGAAUACAUAGGUUAACGAGGCGAACCGGGGGAACUGAAACAUCUAAGUACCCCGAGGAAAAGAAAUCAACCGAGAUUCCCCCAGUAGCGGCGAGCGAACGGGGAGCAGCCCAGAGUCUGAAUCAGCUUGUGUGUUAGUGGAACGGUCUGGAAAGUCCGACGGUACAGGGUGAUAGUCCCGUACACCAAAAUGCACAGGCUGUGAACUCGAAGAGUAGGGCGGGACACGUGGUAUCCUGUCUGAAUAUGGGGGGACCAUCCUCCAAGGCUAAAUACUCCUGACUGACCGAUAGUGAACCAGUACCGUGAGGGAAAGGCGAAAAGAACCCCGGCGAGGGGAGUGAAAAAGAACCUGAAACCGUGUACGUACAAGCAGUGGGAGCACCUUCGGGUGUGACUGCGUACCUUUUGUAUAAUGGGUCAGCGACUUAUAUUCUGUAGCAAGGUUAACCGUAUAGGGGAGCCGCAGGGAAACCGAGUCUUAACUGGGCGUUAAGUUGCAGGGUAUAGACCCGAAACCCGGUGAUCUAGCCAUGGGCAGGUUGAAGGUUGGGUAACACUAACUGGAGGACCGAACCGACUAAUGUUGAAAAAUUAGCGGAUGACUUGUGGCUGGGGGUGAAAGGCCAAUCAAACCGGGAGAUAGCUGGUUCUCCCCGAAAGCUAUUUAGGUAGCGCCUCGUGAANUCAUCUUCGGGGGUAGAGCACUGUUUCGGCUAGGGGGUCAUCCCGACUUACCAACCCGAUGCAAACUACGAAUACCGAAGAAUGUUAUCACGGGAGACACACGGCGGGUGCUAACGUCCGUCGUGAAGAGGGAAACAACCCAGACCGCCAGCUAAGGUCCCAAAGUCAUGGUUAAGUGGGAAACGAUGUGGGAAGGCACAGACAGCCAGGAUGUUGGCUUAGAAGCAGCCAUCAUUUAAAGAAAGCGUAAUAGCUCACUGGUCGAGUCGGCCUGCGCGGAAGAUGUAACGGGGCUAAACCAUGCACCGAAGCUGCGGCAGCGACACUAUGUGUUGUUGGGUAGGGGAGCGUUCUGUAAGCCUGCGAAGGUGACCUGUGAGGGUUGCUGGAGGUAUCAGAAGUGCGAAUGCUGACAUAAGUAACGAUAAAGCGGGUGAAAAGCCCGCUCGCCGGAAGACCAAGGGUUCCUGUCCAACGUUAAUCGGGGCAGGGUGAGUCGACCCCUAAGGCGAGGCCGAAAGGCGUAGUCGAUGGGAAACAGGUUAAUAUUCCUGUACUUGGUGUUACUGCGAAGGGGGGACGGAGAAGGCUAUGUUAGCCGGGCGACGGUUGUCCCGGUUUAAGCAUGUAGGCUGGUUNUGGAGCUGAGACCAGUCGAAGAUACCAGCUGGCUGCAACUGUUUAUUAAAAACACAGCACUGUGCAAACACGAAAGUGGACGUAUACGGUGUGACGCCUGCCCGGUGCCGGAAGGUUAAUUGAUGGGGUUAUCCGUAAGGAGAAGCUCUUGAUCGAAGCCCCGGUAAACGGCGGCCGUAACUAUAACGGUCCUAAGGUAGCGAAAUUCCUUGUCGGGUAAGUUCCGACCUGCACGAAUGGCGUAAUGAUGGCCAGGCUGUCUCCACCCGAGACUCAGUGAAAUUGAACUCGCUGUGAAGAUGCAGUGUACCCGCGGCAAGACGGAAAGACCCCGUGAACCUUUACUAUAGCUUGACACUGAACAUUGAGCCUUGAUGUGUAGGAUAGGUGGGAGGCUUUGAAGCGUGGACGCCAGUCUGCGUGGAGCCAACCUUGAAAUACCACCCUUUAAUGUUUGAUGUUCUAACGUUGGCCCCUUACCGGGGUUGCGGACAGUGUCUGGUGGGUAGUUUGACUGGGGCGGUCUCCUCCCAAAGCGUAACGGAGGAGCACGAAGGUUAGCUAAUCCUGGUCGGACAUCAGGAGGUUAGUGCAAUGGCAUAAGCUAGCUUGACUGCGAGCGUGACGGCGCGAGCAGGUGCGAAAGCAGGUCAUAGUGAUCCGGUGGUUCUGAAUGGAAGGGCCAUCGCUCAACGGAUAAAAGGUACUCCGGGGAUAACAGGCUGAUACCGCCCAAGAGUUCAUAUCGACGGCGGUGUUUGGCACCUCGAUGUCGGCUCAUCACAUCCUGGGGCUGAAGUAGGUCCCAAGGGUAUGGCUGUUCGCCAUUUAAAGUGGUACGCGAGCUGGGUUUAGAACGUCGUGAGACAGUUCGGUCCCUAUCUGCCGUGGGCGCUGGAGAAUUGAGGGGGGCUGCUCCUAGUACGAGAGGACCGGAGUGGACGCAUCACUGGUGUUCGGGUUGUCAUGCCAAUGGCACUGCCCGGUAGCUAAAUGCGGAAGAGAUAAGUGCUGAAAGCAUCUAAGCACGAAACUUGCCCCGAGAUGAGUUCUCCCUGAGACUUUAAGUCUCCUGAAGGAACGUUAAAGACGAUGACGUUGAUAGGCCGGGUGUGUAAGCGCAGCGAUGCGUUGAGCUAACCGGUACUAAUGAACCGUGAGGCUUAACCUU